UACGUAGGGUGCGAGCGUUAAUCGGAAUUACUGGGCGUAAAGUGUGCGCAGGUGGCCGCGCAAGUCGAGUGUGAAAUCCCCGAGCUUAACUUGGGAAUUGCGCUCGAAACUACGUGGCUCGAGUGUGGCAGAGGAAGGUGGAAUUCCACGUGUAGCGGUGAAAUGCGUAGAUAUUGGGAGGAACACCAGUGGCGAAGGCGGUCCCCUGGGCCGGAACUGACGCUGAGGCGCGAAAGCGUGGGUAGCAAACGGG
This 253-nucleotide ribosomal RNA is filed under the name uncultured bacterium. RNAcentral describes it as "partial 16S ribosomal RNA". It matches the Rfam family "Bacterial small subunit ribosomal RNA", at positions 524 to 776 of the family's 1533-position model. The record is from RNAcentral.